UGGAUGGACAAUAGGUUGUAUAACUAACUCUAUAUUCAUUCCAAAGAGGAAGUUAUUUAACUGAUUUCCUACUUCUACACCAGUUUUUGUUCCUAAGCCAUUACAUUUAGUGCUGUCUUUAUUCCUUCAUUCUAAAUCUCCUAAAACUUUCUUAAGAAUAAUCUUGACUCUUCCCAGUGCAUGUUUCUACCUUUCUCUGAGCAGAAAAACAAUUUCUUUAAAUUUAGCCUUCUGUCUUCAGUUACUCCAAUUUCACAAUGGCUAGAUUAGCCAUCUGCUCCACAGUCAACGUAAAAUAGCUGCCCAGCAGAUAAUUGCUAGAGAGUGUGACCUUAGACUCGUUUCUCAGCCAUACAUUAGGGAAACAGUAGUGUUGGAAGAGUUCUUGAAUGUCAGCCACCUACCCAUUUCUCUAAAUAUUGUAAGCUCUCCCCAUAGAUAAAACAAUAGACCUACAGAGAGUUACACACCUGGGUCACAUCAUUUUUGACCCUCACAAAACUGCUUUCAGCGAAUUCACUUUGUCAUGAUGCUACUGAGUUACGCUGAAGAAUGUUAAAAACAGUCUGUGAACUGUAGUGUUUCCUCCAGAGGUACGCUUGCAGACACUAUUUACUGCAUUUUGAGCAGUUCUGAUAUGAGAAAACAAGAGACAAGAAGUAUUUUCCAUGAAAUUGAUAAGAGAAGGUCAAAUGUUGCUUCAUGUUGUGUCAUGAAAAUUUAGGAAGAUAGGAUCUGACAAAUUGCAUAACUAGAAAAUAAGACAUAAAGCUUACCAAAGUUUAAGGGGAAACCUUUAACAUUUAAUGAAAGAUAGAAAUUGCACCAGCCCUUUGUGAAGACUAAAUGAUUGAUACUUCUAGAGUAGGAUAUAAACGCCCACCUCAAACUUUUCCUGGUUUAAUUCUCAAAACUUAAUGUAUAUAAUAUUUAGAUCUUAUUCAUACUCUAGUUUUGACCUAAACGGGAAGGUGUUUUUCGUUGUUGUUGUUUUUUGGUUUUGGUUUUUUUGUUUUUCCUUCUCUGUUGUCAAUUUGGCCCCUAAUAUUACCAGCCCCAUAAGAUGUCUGCUUCACAGAGGGGAAGCUGGGAACUACAUUUCCCAGAAUUCCCUCUCCAUCUGGUUUCUAGUUAAAGGCAGCUAAUGAGAGACACUUGAAAGAAAUUUGGAAAGUGAAAGCAAGGAUAAAUCAUUAAUCUCCAGAGACAGUUGUGGACAGACAUGUGGGAUGGUGUCAGAAGUAACAUUUGAAGUAAACUUCAGGUUAACUCCUUUCUAAGAACUGGUUGCUUAGGUGCUAUAAGCUAGGAUUGUUGGUGACAGCUUUCCUAGCCUCUGUUCCCUUAGCCCUUAUGGUAUUUGAGCAAUUCUUUACUUUUUCCAAUUUUACAACCAAAUAUAAGCCUUUAUAAUUGGAAUACAAAGUAGUUUCUUUUUUCUUGAUGGAUCCUUGACUGCAAACAACACUUCCCUUUUGUUAAAAUGAAGGAGCUUACUGCUGAUCUGACUGUUAAAACUCAUUUCAGCAGUGGAAAAUAACAUUAAACAAAAAACAAACAAAAUUGCAGUGAAAUGCAAUUGUGCCCACUUCUGCUCAAAUUCUGUUACUGUUGUACUAUGUCUGGAUGCUACCUAAGGAUAUGUAUUUUAGUUAUCUUCCCAGGAUGCUUCCGAUGUGAUUGACCUGUGAUUACCAUUUAAGAAAAAAACAAUGUAAAUCUUUGGGCUCUAUUAAAAUUCAACUCUUUCCUUAAUGUUUUAUGCCUUUUCAGUUGUUUAUUCCUUCACGUAAAUAAGGUGAGUCAAGGAUUUUAAACAGGUUGAGAGAUUAUAAGGAGAGGGCAUUCACUAUGCCCUGGGAACUUCGUGGGUAGAUAAAUGAAAAAGCUCAGAAUUCCAGAGAUUAACUUUUUAACAGUUUUUUUUUUUCUCAGAUAAACUAAGAGAAAAAGAAGUUGGACAACUAGUAGCAAGAAAAAUGAAAAAAGUGUAAGAAAUAACAUAUUUCCCUUGGGAACUUUUAGAAGUUUUGAACUAGACUGGAGGAAAGAAGUAAAUGCUUCAACCAACUGUCACUUGUCAGUGUCCAUUGAUUCACUGGAGUUGAGAGAGGACGAAAAGUCAAAUUUAGAAACACCCCUAGAAAAAGAAGCAAAAAGUCCUUCUACACCAAUGUUCUCUAUUUUGUAUUAUAAUUACAUCCAUUCCAGCAAUUGUAUCUUUGAAAGGAAUAAUAGAAAAGAAGCAUGCCAUGAACUGAAUGAAAAAAAAGCUGCCUAAUUCCCUAAGCUAUUAUAUCACAACAUCUGAAUUUAUGCAUAUGUUCAGAAUGGCUUCACAAGCUUGCAGAGUAGGACAUUAAUACCAGUGGGAGGUAUGAUUCACUACUUUAAUAUAUUCUUUUUAUGGAUUU
Molecule: long non-coding RNA, 2414 nt
Organism: Felis catus (domestic cat)
Lineage: Eukaryota; Metazoa; Chordata; Mammalia; Carnivora; Felidae
Exons: 3
Source: RefSeq, a predicted model, not a curated record